This 643-nucleotide ribosomal RNA is filed under the name uncultured bacterium. Its description in RNAcentral is "bacterial SSU rRNA". It matches the Rfam family "Bacterial small subunit ribosomal RNA", at positions 62 to 716 of the family's 1533-position model. The record is from RNAcentral.
UUUUACAGAUUUCUUCGGAAUGAAGUUUUAGUGACUGAGUGGCGGACGGGUGAGUAACGCGUGGGUAACCUGCCUCACACAGGGGGAUAACAGUUGGAAACGGCUGCUAAUACCGCAUAAGCGCACAGUACCGCAUGGUACAGUGUGAAAAACUCCGGUAGUGUGGGAUGGACCCGCGUCUGAUUAGCUAGUUGGCAGGGCAACGGCCUACCAAGGCGACGAUCAGUAGCCGACCUGAGAGGGUGACCGGCCACAAUGGGACUGAGACACGGCCCAAACUCCUACGGGAGGCAGCAGUGGGGAAUAUUGCACAAUGGGGGAAACCCUGAUGCAGCGACGCCGCGUGAGCGAAGAAGUAUUUCGGUAUGUAAAGCUCUAUCAGCAGGGAAGAAGAAAUGACGGUACCUGACUAAGAAGCACCGGCUAAAUACGUGCCAGCAGCCGCGGUAAUACGUAUGGUGCAAGCGUUAUCCGGAUUUACUGGGUGUAAAGGGAGCGCAGGCGGAAGGCUAAGUCUGAUGUGAAAGCCCGGGGCUCAACCCCGGUACUGCAUUGGAAACUGGUCAUCUAGAGUGACGGAGGGGUAAGUGGAAUUCCUAGUGUAGCGGUGAAAUGCGUAGAUAUUAGGAGGAACACCAGUGGC